Molecule: ribosomal RNA, 253 nt
Filed under: uncultured bacterium
Lineage: Bacteria
Description: partial 16S ribosomal RNA
Rfam family: Bacterial small subunit ribosomal RNA
Source: RNAcentral
UACAGAGGUCUCAAGCGUUGUUCGGAUUCAUUGGGCGUAAAGGGUGUGUAGGAGGCCAGGUAAGUCAGGUGUGAAAUCUCAGAGCUUAACUCUGAAACUGCGCUUGAUACUGCUUGGCUCGAGGAUCGGAGGGGGUAACGGAAUUCAUGGUGUAGCAGUGAAAUGCGUAGAUAUCAUGAGGAACACCGGUGGCGAAGGCGGUUACCUGGAAGAUUCCUGACUCUGAAACACGAAAGCCAGGGGAGCAAACGGG